CGUCAUUUAGCGCUUAUGUGCUUAAAGAGACUACCUUUUGUCUCCCUCAGGUGCUGUCUCAGCAGGGAGGAGAUGAAAAGGUUUCCUACAGUAACUACCGGUCUCCUGGUAUCUCCUCCAUGCUCUGGUGACUGUGCUGGAAAACACAGCAAACCUUCUUGGAUGGAUGUCCCAUCCUGGAGGAGCUGGACUUCCUCUGCAACCUGAAUGGGCUGUUGACGGCCGUGCGACAAAAAAAACAUCUGCCUACCAAAAAUUCACAAGCUGCCGCAGACACGAAGGACAACAGUCGGUUUGUGUUCCUGCUGCCACACGGUGUCGUCGACAGCGUAGAGUGUUGACGGAUCUGUUGUGCUGCUGAGUUAGCUGCACUUCUGUGUGAUCUGCUGGGAUUAAACAACAACAAAUGGGGUUCAUU
Pelmatolapia mariae (spotted tilapia) is the source of this 418-nucleotide long non-coding RNA. RefSeq lists it as uncharacterized. The transcript has 3 exons. NCBI's taxonomy places the organism in Eukaryota, Metazoa, Chordata, Actinopteri, Cichliformes, Cichlidae. The record is from RefSeq and is a predicted model, not a curated record.